GAGAAUUUUUCACAAUGGGCGAAAGCCUGAUGGAGCGACGCCGCGUGGGGGAUGAAUGGCUUCGGCCCGUAAACCCCUGUCAUUCGCGAGCAAACGUUAUUAUUUAAAAGAUGAUAGCCUGAUAGUAGCGAAAGAGGAAGGGACGGCUAACUCUGUGCCAGCAGCCGCGGUAAUACAGAGGUCCCAAGCGUUGUUCGGAUUUACUGGGCGUAAAGGGUGCGUAGGUGGUGGGGUAAGUCGGAUGUGAAAUCUCCGAGCUCAACUCGGAAAGUGCAUUGGAGACUACCCUGCUCGAGGGUUGGAGGGGGGACUGGAAUACUUGGUGUAGCAGUGAAAUGCGUAGAUAUCAAGUGGAACACCAGUGGCGAAGGCGAGUCCCUGGACAACUCCUGACACUGAGGCACGAAAGCUAGGGGAGCAAACAG
Molecule: ribosomal RNA, 425 nt
Filed under: uncultured bacterium
Lineage: Bacteria
Description: bacterial SSU rRNA
Rfam family: Bacterial small subunit ribosomal RNA
Source: RNAcentral